RNAcentral lists this long non-coding RNA (226 nucleotides) under Lathyrus oleraceus (garden pea). RNAcentral describes it as "Pisum sativum (pea) long non-coding RNA (PSAT_LNC004697)". Lineage: Eukaryota; Viridiplantae; Streptophyta; Magnoliopsida; Fabales; Fabaceae. The record is from RNAcentral.
UUUUCUACAUUUUUCUUUCUUUCUUUCUUUUUUAUUUUGAUUUUAUUUUUCACCCCCUUUUCUUUUUUUUACAUUGUAAUGCCCCAGUUUGACUGUUUUGCUGAUUCUCAAGAUGCAGCUGAAUGAUCUUCUUUUCAUACUCAAGGAGACGGGAAAUCUCGUCAGGAAUCCCUUCAACAUCAUCUUCCUCUGCUUUGAAUACAGGGAAUUCAAAAUUGGGAGAUGG